GACGAACGCUGGCGGCGUGCUUAACACAUGCAAGUCGAACGGAAAGGCCCUGCUUUUGUGGGGUGCUCGAGUGGCGAACGGGUGGGUAACACGUGAGUAACCUGCCCUUGACUUUGGGAUAACUUCAGGAAACUGGGGCUAAUACCGGAUAGGAGCUCCUGCUGCAUGGUGGGGGUUGGAAAGUUUCGGCGGUUGGGGAUGGACUCGCGGCUUAUCAGCUUGUUGGUGGGGUAGUGGCUUACCAAGGCUUUGACGGGUAGCCGGCCUGAGAGGGUGACCGGCCACAUUGGGACUGAGAUACGGCCUAGACUCCUACGGGAGGCAGCAGUGGGGAAUAUUGCACAAUGGGCGGAAGCCUGAUGCAGCAACGCCGCGUGCGGGAUGACGGCCUUCGGGUUGUAAACCGCUUUCGCCUGUGACGAAGCGUGAGUGACGGUAAUGGGUAAAGAAGCACCGGCUAACUACGUG
Molecule: ribosomal RNA, 468 nt
Filed under: uncultured bacterium
Lineage: Bacteria
Description: partial 16S ribosomal RNA
Rfam family: Bacterial small subunit ribosomal RNA
Source: RNAcentral